This 463-nucleotide ribosomal RNA is filed under the name uncultured bacterium. RNAcentral describes it as "partial 16S ribosomal RNA". It matches the Rfam family "Bacterial small subunit ribosomal RNA", at positions 29 to 507 of the family's 1533-position model. The record is from RNAcentral.
AGUGAACGCUGGCGGCGUGCUUAAUACAUGCAAGUCGAACGAUGAAGUCCUAGCUUGCUAGGAUGGAUUAGUGGCGCACGGGUGAGUAAUAUAUAGUUAAUCUGCCUUGCACUGAGGAACAACAGUUGGAAACGAUUGCUAAUACCUCAUACUCCAACUUUACAUAAGUUAAGUUGGGAAAGUCUUUUCGGUGCAAGAUGAGACUAUAUCGUAUCAGCUAGUUGGUAAGGUAAUGGCUUACCAAGGCUAUGACGCGUAACUGGUCUGAGAGGAUGAUCAGUCACAUUGGAACUGAGACACGGUCCAAACUCCUACGGGAGGCAGCAGUAAGGAAUAUUGUGCAAUGGGGGAAACCCUGACGCAGCAACGCCGCGUGGAGGAUGACACUUUUCGGAGCGUAAACUCCUUUUAUUAGGGAAGAAUAAUGACGGUACCUAACGAAUAAGCACCGGCUAACUCCGUG